This 235-nucleotide ribosomal RNA is filed under the name Streptomyces sp. CB02923. RNAcentral describes it as "partial 23S ribosomal RNA". It matches the Rfam family "Bacterial large subunit ribosomal RNA", at positions 2698 to 2925 of the family's 2925-position model. The record is from RNAcentral. Lineage: Bacteria; Bacillati; Actinomycetota; Actinomycetes; Kitasatosporales; Streptomycetaceae.
CGGACGAACCUCUGGUGUGCCAGUUGUCCUGCCAAGGGCAUGGCUGGUUGGCUACGUUCGGAAAGGAUAACCGCUGAAAGCAUCUAAGCGGGAAGCCUGCUUCGAGAUGAGGACUCCCACCCCCUUUGAGGGGUUAAGGCUCCCAGUAGACGACUGGGUUGAUAGGCCAGAUAUGGAAGCCCGGUAACGGGUGGAGUUGACUGGUACUAAUAGGCCGAGGGCUUGUCCUCAGUUG